This 487-nucleotide ribosomal RNA is filed under the name uncultured bacterium. RNAcentral describes it as "bacterial SSU rRNA". It matches the Rfam family "Bacterial small subunit ribosomal RNA", at positions 28 to 507 of the family's 1533-position model. The record is from RNAcentral.
GAUGAACGCUAGCUACAGGCUUAACACAUGCAAGUCGAGGGGCAGCGCAGUGUAGCAAUACAUGGGCGGCGACCGGCGCACGGGUGCGUAACGCGUAUCCAACCUUCCCGUUACUCAGGGAUAGCCUUCCGAAAGGGAGAUUAAUACCUGAUGGUGUUUGAAUUCCGCAUGUUAUUCAAACUAAAGAUUUAUCGGUAACGGAUGGGGAUGCGUGACAUUAGAUAGUAGGCGGGGUAACGGCCCACCUAGUCUACGAUGUCUAGGGGUUCUGAGAGGAAGGUCCCCCCACACUGGAACUGAGACACGGUCCAGACUCCUACGGGAGGCAGCAGUGAGGAAUAUUGGUCAAUGGCCGGAAGGCUGAACCAGCCAAGUAGCGUGAAGGAUGAAGGUUCUAUGGAUUGUAAACUUCUUUUAUACGGGAAUAAAACCUCCCACGUGUGGGAGCUUGUAUGUACCGUAUGAAUAAGCAUCGGCUAACUCCGUG